This 72-nucleotide transfer RNA is filed under the name Thorea hispida. Its description in RNAcentral is "tRNA-Val". It matches the Rfam family "tRNA". Rfam says of the family: Transfer RNA (tRNA) molecules are approximately 80 nucleotides in length. Their secondary structure includes four short double-helical elements and three loops (D, anti-codon, and T loops). The record is from RNAcentral. Lineage: Eukaryota; Rhodophyta; Florideophyceae; Thoreales; Thoreaceae.
AAGUAAUUAACUCAAUGGUAGAGUGUUUUAUUUACACUAAAACUGUUAAUGGUUCAAAUCCAUUAUUACUUA